UACGUAGGCAGCAAGCGUUGUUCGGAAUUACUGGGCGUAAAGAGUGUGUAGGCGGUGUUCUAAGUUCGGUGUGAAAUCUCCCGGCUUAACUGGGAGGGUGCGCCGGAAACUGGAGUGCUCGAGCGUGGGAGAGGAAAGCGGAAUUCCUGGUGUAGCGGUGAAAUGCGUAGAUAUCAGGAGGAACACCUGCGGUGUAGACGGCUUUCUGGACCAUUGCUGACGCUGAGACACGAAAGCGUGGGUAGCAAACAGG
Molecule: ribosomal RNA, 253 nt
Filed under: uncultured bacterium
Lineage: Bacteria
Description: partial 16S ribosomal RNA
Rfam family: Bacterial small subunit ribosomal RNA
Source: RNAcentral